RNAcentral lists this long non-coding RNA (1536 nucleotides) under Numida meleagris (helmeted guineafowl). RNAcentral's name for it is "lncRNA (ENSNMEG00000002099.1)". Lineage: Eukaryota; Metazoa; Chordata; Aves; Galliformes; Numididae. The record is from RNAcentral.
CUGGUGGUGCCGCGCGGGUUCUCCACCGGCACGGAAUUGUUGAACACCAGCGCCCACAGCAGCCACACCGACUUCCCCACCGUGAACGUGGGGCCGCCCGCGCCUGUGGGUCACGUUGUCACCGUGUCACAUUGUCACCGUGCCACAUUGUCACCGUGUCACCAAGGUACCAUGUCACCACGUCACCAAGUCACCACGUCACCAAGUCACCAUGUCACCAAGUCACCACGUCACCAAGUCACCAUGUCACCAAGUCACUGAGUUGUCACCACGUCACGGUGCAGCCACACCGACUUCCCCACUGUGAACACGGGGCCGCCUGCGUCUGUGGGUCACGUUGUCACCGCGUCACGUUGUCACCGUGCCACAUUGUCACCAUGUCACCAAGGUACCACGUCACCAAGUCACCAUGUCACCUUGUCACCAUGUCACGGUGUAGCCACACCGACUUCCCCACCGUGAACGUGGGGCUGCCCACGCCUGUGGGUCACGUUGUCACUGUCAUGUUGUCACCAUGUCACCAAGUCACCACGUCACCAAGUCACCACGUCACCAUGUCACCAAGUCACCAUGUCACCAAGUCACCAAUUCACCAAGUCACCACGUCACCAAGUCACCACGCCACCACGCCACCACGUCACCACGUCACCACGUCACCACGUCACCAAGUCACCAUGUCACCAUGUCACCACGUCACCAAGUCACCAUGUCACCAAGUCACCAAGUCACCAAGUCACCACGUCACCAAGUCACCAAGUCACCACGCCACCACGCCACCACGUCACCACGUCACCACAUCACCACGCCACCACGUCACCACGUCACCAAGUCACCAUGUCACCAUGUCAUGACACUGCCACACCGACUUCCCCACUGUGAACACGGGGCCGCCUGCGCCUGUGGGUCACGUUGUCACCGUGUCACAUUGUCACCGUGCCACAUUGUCACCGUGUCACCAAGGUACCAUGUCACCAUGUCACCAAGUCACCACGUCACCAAGUCACCAUGUCACCAAGUCACUGAGUUGUCACCACGUCACGGUGCUGCCACACCGACUUCUCCACCGUGAACGUGGGGCCGCCUGCGUCUGUGGGUCACGUUGUCACCGGGUCACACUGUCACCGUGUCACAUUGUCACCGGGUCACAUUGUCAUCAUGUCACCAAGGUACCACGUCACCAUGUCACCAUGUCACGGUGCAGCCACACCGACUUCCCCACCAUGAAUGUGGGGCUGCCCACACCUGUGGGUCACGUUGUCACCGUGUCAUAUUGUCACCAUGUCAUGUUGUCACCAUGUCACCGUGUCACCAAGGUACCAUGUCACCAAGUCACCAUGUCACCAUGUCAUGGUGUAGCCACACCAACAUCCCCACCGUGAACGUGGGGCUGCCCGCGCCUGUGGGUCACGUUGUCACCAUGUCACGUUGUCACCGUGUCACAUUGUCACCGUGUCACGUUGUCACUGUGUCACAUUGUCACUGUGUCACAUUGUCACUGUGUCACGUUGUCACCGUGUCACGUUGUCACCGUGUCAC